This 625-nucleotide ribosomal RNA is filed under the name uncultured bacterium. RNAcentral describes it as "bacterial SSU rRNA". The stretch from base 1 to 525 matches the Rfam family "Bacterial small subunit ribosomal RNA", at positions 338 to 873 of the family's 1533-position model. The record is from RNAcentral.
CCUACGGGAGGCAGCAGUGGGGAAUAUUGCACAAUGGGCGAAAGCCUGAUGCAGCGACGCCGCGUGAGGGAUGACGGCCUUCGGGUUGUAAACCUCUUUCUAGCAGGGAAGAAGCGAAAGUGACGGUACCUGCAGAAGAAGCGCCGGCUAACUACGUGCCAGCAGCCGCGGUAAUACGUAGGGCGCGAGCGUUGUCCGGAAUUAUUGGGCGUAAAGAGCUCGUAGGCGGCUUGUCACGUCGGGUGUGAAAGCCCGGGGCUUAACCCCGGGUCUGCAUUCGAUACGGGCUAGCUAGAGUGUGGUAGGGGAGAUCGGAAUUCCUGGUGUAGCGGUGAAAUGCGCAGAUAUCAGGAGGAACACCGGUGGCGAAGGCGGAUCUCUGGGCCAUUACUGACGCUGAGGAGCGAAAGCGUGGGGAGCGAACAGGAUUAGAUACCCUGGUAGUCCACGCCGUAAACGGUGGGAACUAGGUGUUGGCGACAUUCCACGUCGUCGGUGCGCAGCUACGACAUAACGUUACCCGUCCCGUCGGGAGGUACGGCCGCCGAACGACGUAAAACUUAAAACGUAAAGUUAGUACGGCGNGAGACGUAGCCGACGACGACGACGAACGGGAAGGUAGGAG